UACGGGGGGAGCAAGCGUUGUUCGGAUUCAUUGGGCGUAAAGGGUGCGUAGGUGGCGCGGUAAGUCGGGUGUGAAAUUUCGGAGCUUAACUCCGAAACUGCAUUCGAUACUACCGUGCUUGAGGACUGGAGAGGAGACUGGAAUUUACGGUGUAGCAGUGAAAUGCGUAGAGAUCGUAAGGAAGACCAGUGGCGAAGGCGGGUCUCUGGACAGUUCCUGACACUGAGGCACGAAGGCCAGGGGAGCAAACGGG
RNAcentral lists this ribosomal RNA (253 nucleotides) under uncultured bacterium. RNAcentral's name for it is "partial 16S ribosomal RNA". It matches the Rfam family "Bacterial small subunit ribosomal RNA", at positions 524 to 776 of the family's 1533-position model. The record is from RNAcentral.